CAAACAGCAAGUAAAACCGGGAUUAAAUCCAAGGUGCGUUGUAGAGCAGUGCACUGGACAUUCGACAAAGCGCAUUUUAAAGAUAAAUGGCAGCUCUGCUUUUUGGUUUGCUAAAAAGCUGCUGACAGACGUGACUGAAGAAAUGUAAUAAGUGGGUAACAUUCAUUGAAAUUACCAUUGAACAGCUGUACAUAUUGCAGAUUUCACCUUUAAAAAAUGAUUGACACUUUCUUUAGAAAUAUAUGAAAUGUACCAGUGAUCAGUUGUAUGAACACCCAUCCACCAACAUGCUAGCAGUGCUAAUUUACAUUAAGUUAUAAAAAGACUGACAUUGUUAGGGCCAACAGGAACCGGCGACCAUCGCACCACUUUGUAAAGAUGAGCAUGUCAGGUGGGACUUGGACAGUCAAAACUGGGGAUGACGAGACGACACUGCUAUUCUUAGCUUUUUUGUUCAGUGUUGAGAGAAGAAUUGGGACCCUACUUUCACCUCCACUACCACCCUAUAACCAGGCCACGAACGCCAGACUGCCAGCCACCAAAGUAGUUCUCAUUAUUACGAGAUGUGGAAGAUCAAACGUAAGUGGCGCCACCAUUUUGUGGCAUGCAUGCUCUUUCACAUUCAGUCAAAACGAAAAUAACAAAAUGACUGCAUAUGGCAAGUUGUUUUUCCCUACACACACAGGCUACAGUUCAGCAUGGCUGAGAGACAUUUCCAGCCAGGCAACUAAUAGAACUUGGUAGAACUCACACCUUAAAUUCUUUUGCGUUACGAUUUUGAUUAGAGAUUAACAAUAUAAAAUGCCACUGUACUGCAUUCCUGAUGUAAAACUUCUCUUACAGCCCCCAUCACGUACGCUUUGGAAGCAAAGUACAGGCCCUAUCUUGAGGUAAUUUUGCGAAACAAUUUGACCCAAUCUAAUUCACUGCAUAGCAGU
This is a long non-coding RNA of Oncorhynchus tshawytscha (Chinook salmon), 938 nucleotides long. Lineage: Eukaryota; Metazoa; Chordata; Actinopteri; Salmoniformes; Salmonidae. The record is from Ensembl.